RNAcentral lists this ribosomal RNA (441 nucleotides) under uncultured bacterium. RNAcentral's name for it is "partial 16S ribosomal RNA". It matches the Rfam family "Bacterial small subunit ribosomal RNA", at positions 338 to 795 of the family's 1533-position model. The record is from RNAcentral.
CCUACGGGGGGCAGCAGUGGGGAAUAUUGCACAAUGGGGGAAACCCUGAUGCAGCGACGCCGCGUGAGCGAGGAAGUAUUUCGGUAUGUAAAGCUCUAUCAGCAGGGACGAAAAAAGACGGUACCUGACUAAGAAGCCCCGGCUAACUACGUGCCAGCAGCCGCGGUAAUACGUAGGGGGCAAGCGUUAUCCGGAUUUACUGGGUGUAAAGGGAGCGUAGACGGCAAGGCAAGCCAGAAGGGAAAGGGCAGGGCUCAACCCUGGACAUGCUGUUGGAACUGGGGUGCUGGAGUGCAGGGGAGGUAAGUGGAAUGCGUGGUGUAGCGGUGAAAUGCGUAGAUAUUAGGAAGAACACCAGUUGCGAAGGCGGCUUACUGGACUGUAACUGACGUUGAGGCUCGAAAGCGUGGGGAGCAAACAGGAUUAGAUACCCGGGUAGUC